AGAGGGAAGAGGGAAGAGGG
Molecule: microRNA, 20 nt
Filed under: Corchorus olitorius
Lineage: Eukaryota; Viridiplantae; Streptophyta; Magnoliopsida; Malvales; Malvaceae
Description: bta-miR-65
Source: RNAcentral